CGGUAAGGCCCUUCGGGGUACACGAGCGGCGAACGGGUGAGUAACACGUGGGUGAUCUACCCUGUACUUCGGGAUAAGCCUGGGAAACUGGGUCUAAUACCGGAUAUGACCUGAUGUCGCAUGGUGUCGGGUGGAAAGAUUUAUCGGUACAGGAUGGGCCCGCGGCCUAUCAGCUUGUUGGUGGGGUAAUGGCCUACCAAGGCGACGACGGGUAGCCGGCCUGAGAGGGCGACCGGCCACACUGGGACUGAGACACGGCCCAGACUCCUACGGGAGGCAGCAGUGGGGAAUAUUGCACAAUGGGCGAAAGCCUGAUGCAGCGACGCCGCGUGAGGGAUGACGGCCUUCGGGUUGUAAACCUCUUUCGACAGGGACGAAGCGCAAGUGACGGUACCUGUUGAAGAAGCACCGGCCANNUAC
This 420-nucleotide ribosomal RNA is filed under the name Nocardia sp. 2297/04. RNAcentral describes it as "bacterial SSU rRNA". It matches the Rfam family "Bacterial small subunit ribosomal RNA", at positions 67 to 504 of the family's 1533-position model. The record is from RNAcentral. Lineage: Bacteria; Bacillati; Actinomycetota; Actinomycetes; Mycobacteriales; Nocardiaceae.